This is an RNA transcript of Cucumis sativus (cucumber), 1433 nucleotides long. It is a transcript of the gene named RPM1-interacting protein 4, with no coding region annotated. The transcript is spliced from 5 exons. Lineage: Eukaryota; Viridiplantae; Streptophyta; Magnoliopsida; Cucurbitales; Cucurbitaceae. The record is from RefSeq and is a predicted model, not a curated record.
AAAGAUUCAGUUAAACAGUGAAAAAGGGUUCAAUAAUCUGAUAGUGAAAAACAAUAAAAUAUGUUCUUUCUCCACAAUUCAUUUCAUUUCAAUCCUCAAAAUGGGGUCGAAGAUUUGCGGAUCUGUUUUUCAACUCUAUCCGAUUUCCAAAAGCUUUUGCAGUGUCGAUGGAACUUGGAGCAGGUUAAAAUAGGUUACUCCUUUUCGUUUCAAAGUACUGUUUGAGGAUUUAGACCUUUGUCUGAAGGCUAAUGGCUCGGAGUUCACAAGUACCAAAAUUUGGUAAGUGGGAUGAUGGGGAUGAUGUCCCGUAUACGACCUAUUUUGACAAUGCGACAAAGGCUAAAUUCGAGAGGAUGAAUCCAAAUGAUUCUCUUCCUCACCGUGAGGAGAUUUCAAACACAGUGAGGUCAAACUAUGAGCAACACAAAAUCAAAGAGGGUGGUGUUGUGAGGAGGCAACCUGAAUCUCCAUUACACCAUGAUGCUCCGGAAUUGUCUGGUCGGGAUUAUAAUGGUAUAAAGUCCGCAAAGAGUCGGGGUCAACAAGUAUCAAGGCCAAAGCACACACAAGAAGAUUUGGGCUUGGAAGAUAGCAAUAUGAAGAAACAACUUGAUUCCCCUUUGGACCAUCGAUCAAUGGGUCAAGUUAGCUUGAACUCGCCUCUUCAUCAACGUCAAGGUAACCACAGCUCGACCAGUAAUUCAUCGAAAGGGACUAUGAGAAAUGGCACAGUUUCUGAAUGCAGCAUAGAAAAUUCACCUCUUCAUUCGCGACAGCAUCCAAGGACUGAAGCAAAAACUGUUGUACCAUCUUCACCGUUACGGGAAAGAAGAGGCUCAAGUUCGCCUAGAGGAAGUAGUCAUGAAGGUUUAGCUCCCUUAACUCCUGGAAGAUCACGUCAACAAUCUGUUCCUCGGGGCAAUGAAACCGUAGCACCUUUCCUCAUUUCCUUUCAUUCACCCUGAUCGUGGUGCCACAGUCCCAAAAUUUGGUGACUGGGACGAAAGCGAUCCAUCGUCAUCUGAGAACUACACUAAUAUUUUCACCAGAGUGCGCGUGGAGAGACAAACGGAAGACGGAAGUUUGCCAGCUGGGACCAAUGUUUCUAGUAUUCGUAGUCGUUCUAGUGCCGAAAACUCAAAGAGAUGUUGCUGUUUUCCAUGGGGAAAAUGACUUGCAAGAAGGCAUAGAAUAUGUUUUUUGCUUUUUCUAGAUGGAAUGGCCAUGGUGGGAAUUUGUUGUUUUUAUUGGAAAUGUUUGAGUUUGGGCAGAGGCAUUUUUGGCCAACAGAUUAGUGGUAAAGCUUUUGUUUUUGGGCAUAUUAUGGUUCGCCACGUUCUCUUUUUGACUUUAAUACAUUCAAAACAUUUAUUACUGCUAAUGCAUAUAUUAUUUCAAAUAUUAUUCAUUCAAGUGAUUGAGUUCCUUCA